GAUGAACGCUAGCGGCAGGCUUAACACAUGCAAGUCGAGGGGCAGCAUAAUUGGAGGUUUCGGCUAAAGAUUGAUGGCGACCGGCGGACGGGUGCGUAACGCGUAUACAACCUACCCUUCAUUGGUGAAUAACCUGGAGAAAUUCGGACUAAUACACCGUAAGCUAUUUUGAGGCAUCUCAGAGUAGUAAAAGAUUUAUUGUUGGAGGAUGGGUAUGCGUGACAUUAGCUAGUAGGUGAGGUAACGGCUCACCUAGGCGACGAUGUCUAGGGGUUCUGAGAGGAAGGUCCCCCACACUGGUACUGAGACACGGACCAGACUCCUACGGGAGGCAGCAGUGAGGAAUAUUGGUCAAUGGACGGAAGUCUGAACCAGCCAUGCCGCGUGCAGGAUGACGGCUCUAUGAGUUGUAAACUGCUUUUGUAUAGGGGUAAAAUCGGGUAUGUAUACUCGACUGCAAGUACUAUACGAAUAAGGAUCGGCUAACUCCGUGCCAGCAGCCGCGGUAAUACGGAGGAUUCAAGCGUUAUCCGGAUUUAUUGGGUUUAAAGGGUGCGUAGGCGGAUUAUUAAGUUAGUCGUUAAAUCGCAAUGCUUAACAUUGCAAUGGCGAUUGAUACUGGUAAUCUAGAGAUUAUGUGCAGUGGGCGGAAUGAGUAGUGUAGCGGUGAAAUGCUUAGAUAUUACUCAGAACACCGAUUGCGAAGGCAGCUCACUAACAUAGAUCUGACGCUGAGGCACGAAAGCGUGGGUAUCAAACAGGAUUAGAUACCCUGGUAGUCCACGCUGUAAACGAUGAUAACUCGUUGUUGGUUUUUAAGGAAUCAGUGACUAAGGGAAACCGAUAAGUUAUCCCCCUGGGGAGUACGUUCGCAAGAAUGAAACUCAAAGGAAUUGACGGGG
RNAcentral lists this ribosomal RNA (902 nucleotides) under uncultured bacterium. RNAcentral's name for it is "bacterial SSU rRNA". It matches the Rfam family "Bacterial small subunit ribosomal RNA", at positions 28 to 918 of the family's 1533-position model. The record is from RNAcentral.